This 674-nucleotide ribosomal RNA is filed under the name Hymenogaster arenarius. RNAcentral describes it as "eukaryotic LSU rRNA". The stretch from base 270 to 423 matches the Rfam family "5.8S ribosomal RNA". Lineage: Eukaryota; Fungi; Basidiomycota; Agaricomycetes; Agaricales; Hymenogastraceae. The record is from RNAcentral.
CCGGUUUCCGUAGGUGAACCUGCGGAAGGAUCAUUAUUGAAUGAACUUGGUGUGGUUGUUGCUGGCUCUCUCGGGGGCAUGUGCACACCCACCAUCCUCAUAUCUCCACCUGUGCACUUCUUGUAGACCUGGAUACACUUUCCGAGGCAACUCGGUCUGGAGGAAUGCUGUGCAAGCUUUCUUUGUAUUUCCUGGCCUACGUUUUUUCAUAUACCCCAUAGCAUGUAACAGAAUGUAUCAUUGGGCCUUUGUGCCUAUAAACCKUAUACAACUUUCAGCAACGGAUCUCUUGGCUCUCGCAUCGAUGAAGAACGCAGCGAAAUGCGAUAAGUAAUGUGAAUUGCAGAAUUCAGUGAAUCAUCGAAUCUUUGAACGCACCUUGCGCUCCUUGGUAUUCCGAGGAGCAUGCCUGUUUGAGUGUCAUUAAAUUCUCAACCUUAUUAGCUUUUGCUGAUAGUGGCUUGGAUGUGGGGGGUCUCUUUUGCUGGCUUCAUUCAUGGAGGUCAGCUCCCCUUAAAUGCAUUAGCUGGUGCCCCGCGUGGACUGUCUAUUGGUGUGAUAAUUAUCUACGCCGUGGAUGUCUGCAAUUAUAUGGGUUUUGCACUGCUUAUAACCGUCUGUUCAUUCGGACAAUACAUGACAAAUKUGACCUCGAAAUCAGGUAGGACUACCCG